UCGGAGGCACCGCCGAACCGCCGCGGACGUGGGGAAGACGUCCAGGGCGGACCGGGGAACCACGUUCCUGGGGUGAAUCGCACGGGCGCUCGCGCCCGUGGGUAGGGCAGACCUUGGCCCGAACCCGUCAGCUCACCCGGUAGGCGUCGAGGACACUGGAG
Molecule: small RNA, 161 nt
Filed under: Aeromicrobium sp.
Lineage: Bacteria; Bacillati; Actinomycetota; Actinomycetes; Propionibacteriales; Nocardioidaceae
Description: c-di-AMP sequence
Rfam family: c-di-AMP riboswitch aptamer (ydaO/yuaA leader)
About the family: This family represents a conserved RNA structure found upstream of the ydaO and yuaA genes in Bacillus subtilis and related genes in other bacteria. The ydaO/yuaA element is thought to act as a genetic "off" switch for the ydaO and yuaA genes in its native state. It is believed that the element may be triggered during osmotic shock leading to activation of ydaO, a predicted amino acid transporter gene, and members of the yuaA-yubG operon which code for KtrA and KtrB K+ transporters.
Source: RNAcentral